RNAcentral lists this ribosomal RNA (253 nucleotides) under uncultured bacterium. RNAcentral's name for it is "partial 16S ribosomal RNA". It matches the Rfam family "Bacterial small subunit ribosomal RNA", at positions 524 to 776 of the family's 1533-position model. The record is from RNAcentral.
UACGUAGGGUGCAAGCGUUGUCCGGAAUUAUUGGGCGUAAAGAGCUCGUAGGCGGUUUGUCGCGUCGGCUGUGAAAACCCGAGGCUCAACCUCGGGCCUGCAGUCGAUACGGGCAAACUAGAGUGUGGUAGGGGAGACUGGAAUUCCUGGUGUAGCGGUGAAAUGCGCAGAUAUCAGGAGGAACACCGGCGGCGAAGGCGGGUCACUGGUCCGGUACUGACGCUGAUGUGCGAAAGCGUGGGGAGCAAACAGG